UACGAAGGGUGCAAGCGUUAUUCGGAAUUACUGGGCGUAAAGCGUGCGUAGGUGGUGAGUUAAGUCUGUCGUGAAAGCCCCGGGCUUAACCUGGGAACUGCGUUUGAUACGGAUGGGCUAGAGUUCGGGAGAGGAGAGUGGAAUUCCCAGUGUAGAGGUGAAAUUCGUAGAUAUCGAGAGGAACACCGGUGGCGAAGGCGGCCUUCUGGACAGUGACUGACGCUGAGACGCGAAAGCUAGGGGAGCAAACGGG
Molecule: ribosomal RNA, 253 nt
Filed under: uncultured bacterium
Lineage: Bacteria
Description: partial 16S ribosomal RNA
Rfam family: Bacterial small subunit ribosomal RNA
Source: RNAcentral